GCCUGCGUGGCCCAGUGGUUACGGCGCGGGAUUGCUAAUCCCGUUUCCCUUGUGGAUUCCCAGGUUCGAAUCCUGGCGCAGGCG
This 84-nucleotide transfer RNA is filed under the name Candidatus Pacearchaeota archaeon CG1_02_35_32. Its description in RNAcentral is "tRNA-Ser". It matches the Rfam family "tRNA". Rfam says of the family: Transfer RNA (tRNA) molecules are approximately 80 nucleotides in length. The record is from RNAcentral. Lineage: Archaea; Nanobdellati. RNAcentral also lists the same sequence under 6 other names.